Molecule: ribosomal RNA, 440 nt
Filed under: uncultured bacterium
Lineage: Bacteria
Description: partial 16S ribosomal RNA
Rfam family: Bacterial small subunit ribosomal RNA
Source: RNAcentral
CCUACGGGUGGCAGCAGUGGGGGAUAUUGCACAAUGGGGGAAACCCUGAUGCAGCGACGCCGCGUGGGUGAAGAAGCGCCUCGGCGCGUAAAGCUCUGUCAGCAGGGAAGAAGAUGACGGUACCUGAAGAAGAAGCCCCGGCUAACUACGUGCCAGCAGCCGCGGUAAUACGUAGGGGGCAAGCGUUAUCCGGAUUUACUGGGUGUAAAGGGGGCGUAGACGGCGAUGCAAGCCAGGAGUGAAAGCCCGGGGCCCAACCCCGGGACUGCUUUUGGAACUGCGUGGCUAGAGUGCAGGAGGGGCAGGCGGAAUUCCUGGGGUAGCGGUGAAAUGCGUAGAUAUCAGGAGGAACACCGGUGGCGAAGGCGGCCUGCUGGACUGCAACUGACGUUGAGGCCCGAAAGCGUGGGGAGCAAACAGGAUUAGAUACCCGGGUAGUC